UGCAGUCCAUGAGCUGACCUGUGCA
This 25-nucleotide non-coding RNA is filed under the name Mus musculus (house mouse). Lineage: Eukaryota; Metazoa; Chordata; Mammalia; Rodentia; Muridae. The record is from RNAcentral.